This 72-nucleotide transfer RNA is filed under the name Sphaerodactylus townsendi. RNAcentral's name for it is "tRNA-Thr". It matches the Rfam family "tRNA". From Rfam's summary of the family: Transfer RNA (tRNA) molecules are approximately 80 nucleotides in length. Their secondary structure includes four short double-helical elements and three loops (D, anti-codon, and T loops). The record is from RNAcentral. Lineage: Eukaryota; Metazoa; Chordata; Lepidosauria; Squamata; Sphaerodactylidae.
AGAGCUGUGGCUUAGUGGUAGAGCUUCUGCUUGGUGUGCAAAAGAUCCCAGGUUCAAUCAUAGGCAUCUCUG